CCUACGGGAGGCAGCAGUGAGGAAUAUUGGUCAAUGGGCGCGAGCCUGAACCAGCCAAGUAGCGUGAAGGAUGACUGUCCUACGGGUCGUAAACCUCUUUUAUCAAGGAAUAAAGUGAGGGACUAGUCCCCUUUUGAAUGUACUUUAUGAAUAAGGAUCGGCUAACUCCGUGCCAGCAGCCGCGGUAAUACGGAGGAUGCGAGCGUUAUCCGGAUUUAUUGGGUUUAAAGGGGGCGGAGGUGGGUUGUUAAGUCAGUGGUUAAAGUUUGCGGCUCAACCGUAAAAUGGCAAUUGAUACUGGCGGUCUUGAGUUCGAGUGAAGUACGCGGAAUGCGUGGUGUAGCGGUGAAAUGCUUAGAUAUCGCGAAGAACCCCGAUUGCGAAGGCAGCGUACCAA
RNAcentral lists this ribosomal RNA (397 nucleotides) under uncultured bacterium. RNAcentral describes it as "partial 16S ribosomal RNA". It matches the Rfam family "Bacterial small subunit ribosomal RNA", at positions 338 to 732 of the family's 1533-position model. The record is from RNAcentral.